UUCCGGUUGAUCCCGCCGGAGGCUACUGCUAUUGGAAUUCGACUAAGCCAUGCGAGUCAAGGUGUCUUCGGACGCCGGCAUACGGCUCAGUAACACGUAGGUAACCUACCCUCAGGACUGAGAUAACCCCGGGAAACUGGGGCUAAUAUUAGAUAGAUAAAAGAUACUGGAAUGUUCUUUUAUCCAAAGCUUNUGCGCCUGAGGAUGGGCCUGCGCCCGAUUAGGUUGUUGGUGGGGUAAUGGCCCACCAAGCCUACGAUCGGUACGGGCAGUGGGAGCUGAAGCCCGGAGUUGGGGACUGAGACAAGGCCCCAGGCCCUACGGGGCGCAGCAGGCGCGAAACCUCUGCAAUGCGGGAAACCGUGACAGGGGGAUUCCAAGUGCUCAUGCAUUGCAUGGGCUGUUCUUUGGUCUAAGUAACCAGAGGAGUAAGGGCUGGGCAAGACCGGUGCCAGCCGCCGCGGUAAUACCGGCAGCUCAAGUGGUAGCCGCGAUUAUUGGGCCUAAAACGUUCGUAGCCGGAUAAGUAAGUCUUUGGUUAAAUCCUGCGACUUAACCGUGGGAAAUCUAGAGAUACUGCUUGUCUUGAGACCGGGAGAGGUUGGAGGUACUCCCAGGGUAGGGGUGAAAUCCUGUAAUCCUGGGGGGACCACCUGUGGCGAAGGCGUCCAACUGGAACGGGUCUGACGGUGAGGGACGAAACCUAGGGGAGCGAGCCGGAUUAGAUACCCGGGUAGUCCUAGGCGUAAAUGAUGCGAGUUAAGUGUGGGGGCAUCCACGAGAUGGCCCUGUGCUGUAGGGUAGCCGUUAAACUCGCUGCCUGGGGAGUACGGUCGCAAGGCUGAAACUUAAAGGAAUUGGCGGGGGAGCACCACAAGAGGUGGAGGCUGCGGUUCAAUUGGAUUCAACGCCGGG
RNAcentral lists this ribosomal RNA (915 nucleotides) under uncultured archaeon. RNAcentral describes it as "bacterial SSU rRNA". It matches the Rfam family "Archaeal small subunit ribosomal RNA", at positions 1 to 922 of the family's 1478-position model. The record is from RNAcentral.